Molecule: long non-coding RNA, 3977 nt
Organism: Oxyura jamaicensis (ruddy duck)
Lineage: Eukaryota; Metazoa; Chordata; Aves; Anseriformes; Anatidae
Exons: 2
Source: RefSeq, a predicted model, not a curated record
GGAGGUGCUGGUGCUGUGGUCUGCCCCUGGCACAGAUCCCAUGCUGUCCCCCAGGGGACAGCCGACCUACAGCACGCAGGUGGGCUCUGGUGGGCUCCAGCAGCCUGCUGGGGGGGCACGGCAGCCACCGAGCCCCCGUGUGCCCCUCGCUCGCUUUGCGCAAGUGGAGCUGGGAGGGUUAAAAUGCCCGGCUGCUCUCCGAGGAGGGCUCCUGCUUCCCUCCACGUGGGCAGGGGAGCGGGGUAGGGCUGAGCAGAGCAGAGUCGGGCUGCAGCCUCUGGCACAAUGCAGCAGGCGCUGCGCUGGCCCCGGCUGCCCUGGAGCAUCCUGCAGGGAGCAGCCCUGGCACCAGCACAGGGACUGCCCUGGCCCCCUCCCAAACCUCUGGGAGCGAGGGGCGGCAGGCAGAGCCCUCCUGCCGACGGAGGAGGCGGCGACGCCGGAGCAGAGCUUCCCAUCAGCACCUUAUAUUUACUGCAAGGUCCUCUGGCUGUGACCUUUAAAAGACAAGGUGGCCCGGCAGCCUGGAGCCGUCAGCCACUCGGCAGGAGCUGGGCCAGGUGCGUCGAGCAGCGGGCUGGGAGCUGAGCGAGAGGUCCGGGCACGCAGACUGCGACUCAGACAAGUGUGAAUAUGGAUCCCAUAAUCACAAGCCCCUUACCCUAGAAAUAACCUCCUUGCUCCAGGGCACUGCACAUCGCGAAGAGUUCUGCUAGAACCUUUUGGGGUCUAUCCAAAUAGUGCCAUGUUUUGCCACUGUAUUCGGUUUGACCUGCUGCGUGUCUCUCCAAAUUAAGUUGGUGCCUCCCUUCUAUACCGUGCAGACAUCCUGCAGCCCAAGGAAGAACUGCCCGACACCAGCAGGAACGUGCUAGCCAGUGUUCAUGCACGGGUAGCAGGCAGGUAAGAGGCAGUACCCCGCUGCUCGCUGGGUCUCUGCUCCAGGGUUCAAAGCUAUGCCUGUUCAAAACUGGUAAACACAGUUAAGGGCAAGGCGUUAUGGAGAAAAACCCUCCAGCUUGGAGAGCCCGCACUUGCAACUGUUUGACCUUAGGCUGCCAUUACCCGUACAUGUUUUUCAAAUACAGGCGCUUCUGCUGCAGGAAUAAAACCAAGAAGAGAUGAAUCAUAUCUGAAAUCUCAUUACUUCUCUCGUUUUUCCUCCACUGCGAAAGCCAGAGGCCCUCUAGACCAGCUUCACGAAAGCUUGGAUUUGGGAAGGGUCCCAGCUGCUCACCCCAAGAAACCAUCCAGAGGAGUCAGAGGAAAUACAUAAGGCGAACACCUGAUACUUCUCCUGCCACCUGGAGAUCCACUGCUCCCCUAAGCCCUGCGGAGCAGAAAGCCACAGCGAUGGCCCUGCAGCUGGGGGCACCAAGCUUCUGGAGGCAGCACCCACACCCCCUGCACUCCCUACAGAACCGAGAGUGAAAAUAACACCGCAUGCAAAUGGCUGGCAGGGGCUGCAGGGUGGUGAGGGGCCGUGCCAGCCCUGUGCAGCAGCACAACAGCGAGCACGGAUCAGCAACAGUGAGCAGGGUGCAGUGAGUGCCUCCACCCUGUCACUGCUGAUCCCCUGCUAAACUUCCGUCUCUUUUCAUGGCCAGACUUGCUUCCCUGACUCCUUUUCUCUUUCUAAAUACAUUUUUCUCAGAGAAGGAAGCUCAGAAACACUCUUGCAGGCUCAGACAAGAUUGCAGGCCCCGAGUUAGCUGCAUGGCUCUGUUCUAGGUUAGCAAACAGUCACAAAGGCUUUGCAGGCAGCACAUGGCGUCGCUGCCUACAGUCCGUGACGCAAAACCACCUCUGCUUCUCACCAUCCUCCCCUUCCACAAACAAAAUCCUUAAAAGUGGCAGCAAGCCUUCUGUAAUUCUCUCAAAUGUGCCUUUCAAAACCCAUGACCUGUUUGGGGGCUGGGUUUUGUGGAGGUGGAGGGGAGAGUUGUGUGGUUUGACUACGCUGUUUGCAUUGCUGCCAAGACACAAUUUGCUGCAUAACCCGCACUUGUGCACACAUGACCUACAAACACAGCACAAUCCAUGCUCAGCUCGCAUACUGCGCCUCAGUGCAGCAGGCCUGAGCAGCCUACUUCUCUCCUCCUGUUUGUUCAGCUAUGCUGCCAAAAGCUGUAGAACUCCACCAGAGAUAUGCUUCCCCAGAACUACCCUCAAUCCAGGAAUCAAAACUGCACCGGGCUUUUAAAUUCCCUCAGCACUGUGUGCACGAUAUGUACACUCAGAACUUCAAAGGUUCUCUGUUGCUGCGUGACUGAUGCUCCGGUUCUUAUUUGCCAUCAAAUCCUUCCUGGACUUCUUACCCUAUUUCUCAGAAUAAAUUCUGGUCCUGUCUUGGAACAAACUUUUGCAGGCUCUCCCUUAGCAGCAGCAAGCAGGUGCUGUGCGUGCACCAGCUGAAAACAGCACCCAACAACCCAGACUGUUGUUAUAUAUUAUAUCAUACCCAAAUCCCUCCACAGGAUAACAGACUUUACUAAAGGGACUGAAGAAGAAAUGCGUAGAUACCACAUCGCCUUCAUAUUUUCCUACUUUUGCACACAGGAUUUGAAUUCGGAGCACUUCGAUGUCUCCCUAAUCUUUUCAGGAAAAAGAAAAAAUCAUGUAGAGCAAAAAAUUACUCACCCGGUGUGUUCUGGGGCAGCCAACUUGUCUCUUGCACAAAGGGCUCUUCAGUGACUUAUUUGGAGCCUCUGAAUUAAUCAGAUGCUAAAUGUUCUUAACGUUGUGCGUGCAAGACAAGGAAAACAUAACAGUCUUUGGUUUCGGGUCUCUUAUUUAAGUUCAGUUUGGUGGUCACUUUUAACUCGCAAGAGGAAGUUGAGGACUACAUCGAGGGUACUGACAAAUCACGAGGCAGAAGGGACUGCUACAGAGGUGAGAACGGCAGAUGCAUUUGCCUGGGAGCACGUGGUGGGAACGCAGCUUCGGAAGAAGACAGUCCAGGUACAAGACGUGGCUGGGUCUGACUCCUUUCGCCACAGCAGACUGAGCCAUCAACCAUUAUGUCAAGAACACAGAAAUGCUUGGCAAGCAACCCUUUUGCAGCCUGUGCUCCCUUCUCUUUAGGAAUCCAGUUCAAGAACAAGCAGUGCAAGCAAGUCCCAUAGGCUGGGUCUUGUCCCGGUGAGGUAUCACAACACCAAGUCUGCUGAGCGUUCCUCUGGUACUGUCAGGGGCCAGAGAUAAGCACGCAUCUUACUGGCAAAAGAUCCACUGCCAGGAUGCUUUUCACAUCAUGGCCAGCUUCUCCCUCUUGGAACACAGGCAGGACACACAGCACGGGCUGCUUUCAGCUUGCACUCCCUCCUCAGUCACUCUGAAAGCUUAUUUUCAUCCUUCCUUUUCCUAUGGAGUACCACAGCAAUCAUUGUUUACUACCCCAGCAUCAGUGGUACACAGAAAAAACUUCCUCUCAAAAAGCAAAGGGAGAGAGAGAUCUCAUCCAUGCUCAACCUCAUUUAUGAUCCAGAACACCAUUAGCUUCAAGGUGGCAAUUCAGCUUUGCACCAGAAAGAUCUGCCCAGGAUUUAGCCUGCUCUUUGCGAAGAGUGGAAGGCGCAUCUUCUGGACAAGAAGUUAUUCAUUUCCACAAAGAACUGUCUGAUGUGCUAGGGCUGAAAGUGGAACAAUAAAGCCACUUCCUCUAGGCUGCAGAUCCCACCAACAUCCUUUCUCAGGAUAGUUUUAAUUGUAGAAACAUUGUGUCAUCACCAAGCACAACCUUUUUAAAUAUUACUUUAUUGUAGACAGCAGAAAAAUAAAUCUCUUUAUCUGAAGGAACAGACCUACAGCUAACCUGCUUUGCAGGCAGGAGGAACUCCACACCUGCGAUCAGCAGCCAGCACGCCUUUUCCCAACAUCCCAUGGCAGUUUUUAUAGCUAAGCAACAAAACAGGAUGGCAGUUUUACACGUUUGACUAUAUUCACCUGUACUCAGCCAAAUAAAGUCUCACAUAAAA